This 428-nucleotide ribosomal RNA is filed under the name Pantoea sp. RNAcentral describes it as "bacterial SSU rRNA". It matches the Rfam family "Bacterial small subunit ribosomal RNA", at positions 1030 to 1458 of the family's 1533-position model. The record is from RNAcentral. Lineage: Bacteria; Pseudomonadati; Pseudomonadota; Gammaproteobacteria; Enterobacterales; Erwiniaceae.
UGAGACAGGUGCUGCAUGGCUGUCGUCAGCUCGUGUUGUGAAAUGUUGGGUUAAGUCCCGCAACGAGCGCAACCCUUAUCCUUUGUUGCCAGCGAUUCGGUCGGGAACUCAAAGGAGACUGCCGGUGAUAAACCGGAGGAAGGUGGGGAUGACGUCAAGUCAUCAUGGCCCUUACGAGUAGGGCUACACACGUGCUACAAUGGCGCAUACAAAGAGAAGCGACCUCGCGAGAGCAAGCGGACCUCAUAAAGUGCGUCGUAGUCCGGAUCGGAGUCUGCAACUCGACUCCGUGAAGUCGGAAUCGCUAGUAAUCGUGGAUCAGAAUGCCACGGUGAAUACGUUCCCGGGCCUUGUACACACCGCCCGUCACACCAUGGGAGUGGGUUGCAAAAGAAGUAGGUAGCUUAACCUCCGGGAGGGCGCUUACC